UUUAGCGACAUGACACUUUGAUUGAUAAACAAGUAACUACAAGUUUCCCCCAAACAUUUCUCGCAGUGGUUGCGCCUGAUUCGCACCAGUUGCUCUGGCGGUUUUUGGAAAGACAUUUAAAACUGCAACAAUUAAAUAGCACUUCAAUACAGGAUACGCUAUGGAAUGUAUCGUGCCCGUCUGAACAUUCUCUGAAGAAUGUUCUGAUUCAGCGGUUCUAGUAAAUGUCGAUUUUAACAUAUGUAUACAGUACUUGACUUCAAAGUAUUUUACUGCCAACUGUAUAAUGCAACAGGGGUCACCAACAUGGUGCAUGUGGGCACCAUGGAGCCCCUGAGGACCAUAUGAAUAGCCCGUGCGCGGGGGUGCUUUAAUAAUACUGUGUAGGUCAUAGUGAUGGGACAGUGUGUGGCGGGGUUUUUUUGGUUUUUUUUUUUUGGGGGGGGGUGCAUGUGAUCAUUUGAAAAUGGCAUUUACAGAACCAAAAGUGUUGUAUAUUGAUAUUCCAUAUCCAUUCAUCUGUCCAUUUUCUAAUCUGUUUAGGGUUGCGGGUGUGCUGGAGCCUAUACCAGCUGUCUUUGGGGACUAGACAGGGUCCACCCUGAACUGUUUGACAGCAAUGCGUUGUUGACAAAUCAUUAUUGCGUGUCAUGUUUCUGCAUCCUGUCACAUGAAUGAUUUCCUGUAAACAGUACAGUUUGGGGUGUACCUUUUGGGCAGAUGAUGCACAUCAGACGUCUGCUUCACCCAGUAAAAUGUGAGCUGUUCAAACAGGAUUUUGCACAACAAUGCUAAUUCUAGAUCAGCCACUGAGGAGCUUUGAAUAUGACUCAAUGGUCCAAAACAGGAUAUUUUGACUGACACUGGGGAACUAACUUUUGUAGGGCAGAGUGGCUGCUGAGAAGAAAAUGUUUUCUGUGUGAAUACUUUUGCAGGACGUACAUUGUUUGUACCUUUUGUUUAUUAACAAGCUAAUUGGAGGGAAAAUGGGGGCUAAUGUCAGCUUCACGAGACUCUUAUCAGACUACUGCGAGUAUUAUCAUAAAGAGGUAUUUGACCACCUGCCUAGCAUGCAGGUUUUCCGGCCUGAGCAGAGCAGACAGGAUGUUUCAGAUGUUGUAUGAAAGUCAUUUGCAUAAUUAAACUAACAAUUCAAUUGACAAAUUCAUCUUUGUUUUUAAUUUUGUUUGGAAGUUUUAAGAAACCUUUGAAGAGUGAUUCAAAUGUUUAAAUCCCUUUAUUAUGUUUAAUUGUACCGGUUUUUAUACAAUACUUAAAAAAAAUAAAAAAAUUAAAAUGCAAUUUCAAGGUGAAAUGUUGAUUUGAUCCAUUCAUUCUCUAUACCGCUUUUCCUCACAAGGAUUGCAAGCAUGUCUCCCAAAGACAGCCGGGAUAGCUGGAGCCUAUCCCGGCUGUCCUUGGGUGAGGCAGCGUACACCCCGAACUGGUCCAAUCGCAGGGCACAAAUACACAGUCGACCAUUCACACUCGCAUUCACAGCUACGGACAAUUUGGAUUCUUCAAUUAUGGAGUAAAUCGAGUGCAAUGAAUUAAACUCAAGUUGACGUACCACCAUAAAAAUGAAAUCGAUGGUGUGAAGAGUACUUCCAUGAAAUUUGAGGUUUAAAUAUGCCCGCGACACUGACACACAUUGUUUAUCUUCUCAUCUAUACUUGCAGGAGCAGCGUUUCUCCCAGUAUGAGGCAAGGAGGACAGUGUGGCAGCGGGUGCGUCUCUACCUGCUGCGGCUCAUCCUCCUUCUGCUCGUACUGUCUCUCCUGGGUGGAGUGUUCUACCUCAUCUACUUUGCAAUCAAAACAUCACAGUCUAUGGCAAAGGUAGUUGGAGUUGAUGUAAUAUGGCGGAUUUGACUUCUUGGUGAAAAGUCUUCCCUUUGUGACACCAUCUGAUCUCCCUGCGUUCUCCAGAACAAUCAUUACUGGUUAUUCGGUUUCCUCCUCCAGUACUUCCCGCCGAUCACCAUCACCUCUGUCAACCUUUUGCUCCCUCACACCUUCUGAAAGAUGUCAUUUUUUGAGGACUAUUCCUUCACCCUGCAGGUUAAUAUCAUGUUGGUGAGGUAAAAAGCAGAGCAUAUUAUACACAGUAUAAGGGAAGGCUUUUUUUUUUGUAUGCACACGGCAGCUGAACUCGGAUUGUCUUCCUUCAGGAGCAUCUUUUUGAAGCUUGCCUCGCUGGGGAUAUACUUAUUUUUUGUGUAUACAACAACACAUGAGCAUGUAAGACAUGUUUUACUUUCAUGACAAUUUUCAAAGCAGCACUUUUAAAGCUCAUUCAUGCAACAUGGCAACUGAUGGCUGUCUCCAACCACCAUGACACUGAAACACUCGAUAAAGAUUGACAAAAGUA
This is a long non-coding RNA of Hippocampus zosterae (dwarf seahorse), 2370 nucleotides long. RefSeq lists it as uncharacterized. Lineage: Eukaryota; Metazoa; Chordata; Actinopteri; Syngnathiformes; Syngnathidae. The record is from RefSeq and is a predicted model, not a curated record. The transcript is spliced from 2 exons.